Molecule: ribosomal RNA, 253 nt
Filed under: uncultured bacterium
Lineage: Bacteria
Description: partial 16S ribosomal RNA
Rfam family: Bacterial small subunit ribosomal RNA
Source: RNAcentral
UACGUAGGGUGCAAGCGUUGUCCGGAAUUAUUGGGCGUAAAGAGCGUGUAGGCGGCCCGAUAAGUCCGCUGUGAAAGUCCAGGGCUCAACCCUGGAAUGCCGGUGGAUACUGUCGGGCUCGAGUUCGGAAGAGGUGAGUGGAAUUCCUGGUGUAGCGGUGAAAUGCGCAGAUAUCAGGAGGAACACCGGUGGCGAAGGCGGCUUGCUGGGCCUUACCUGACGCUGAGGAGCGAAAGCGUGGGGAGCGAACAGG